UUAGGUUAUUUUUCUUGAACAAAGUGUCCUAUAGUUUGUGUAUUAUUAUAUAGCCCUAAGUUAUGGUUUUCAAAGAAGAAAAAAACAAUGUUUCAUCCAAUGAACAAAACCAUGAUGAUCAAUGUUGUCCAAACAAUUAUUUUUUUCAUCUCAUAUUUGAUAAGUAUUUUAUUGUUACUAUAAUAUUUCUCCCAAUUUUAUUGCUUUUGUCUUUUAUUUUGUUUGGUCUUAUGGAAAAACAUUUCCCAAAUUUACUAUUGAAGCAAUCACAUCUUCUAAUAUUUUUUCACCAUGGCCUUAUUCAUCUCUACAUGCUCAGAACUUGACUAUCGAUUUCGUGGUCGAAAAUCAUGCAUCUCGUGAAGGUGAGUACGAAAACAUGGUGGUUUAUAUUUCCUACGAGGGGAAUAUCAUUUGGUUUAAUAUGUUAGGCAUUUAUCGUCAGCAAAAAGAUGAGUGUUCGUCGAUACAGGUGACUUUUGGUGAUUUUCUAGUGAAGAUAAUGGAUGACUACGUUGCUUAUAGAAUAAGUAAAGAAAAUAGGACAAAUGGAUUUGUGGUUUUUAGAGUGGAGUUAAAGGAGGUAAAGGAUAGUAGAUAUGAGGCUCAAGUUUUCAUCAGUUAAACAAGAGACAAGAUUGUUGCAAAAAUGUUCCACCGUACGGUUUUGAUUGUUACUUAAAUUUUAUUGUAUCGUCUGAAUCUUAAUUUCCUUAUGUAAGGAGGAAAAGUUUUUUUAUGUAAGGACUGAUUUGGUGUUAGUUGGCUAUGUAUGUUGGUCGAGCCGAGGGUCUGUCCGAAAUAGCCCUUAUUUCACAAUAGCCCUUAUUUCACCUUCCUUGCUUUUUAUUUUGAGAUUAGCAUCCAGUACCCCCGAACUAUGACCAAAGGUACUACGACACACUCUAACUUCAAAGGAGUUCUAUUACCCCGUGAACUCAAUUUUAGGGUAUUUUUG
RNAcentral lists this long non-coding RNA (958 nucleotides) under Capsicum annuum. RNAcentral's name for it is "long non-coding RNA (CANN_LNC021244)". The record is from RNAcentral. Lineage: Eukaryota; Viridiplantae; Streptophyta; Magnoliopsida; Solanales; Solanaceae.